Molecule: non-coding RNA, 502 nt
Organism: Arachis ipaensis
Lineage: Eukaryota; Viridiplantae; Streptophyta; Magnoliopsida; Fabales; Fabaceae
Source: RefSeq, a predicted model, not a curated record
GAAUGAGUUUUAUCUAUAUAUGCAUCUCUCCAUACCCUAGAGUUGCAUAUAUGUGCAAAAUGUAUCAUAAUUAAGGGUUGUUAGCACUGGAUGUUUUAUAAUGGCCAAGUUCUCCACGACAAACCUCUUUUUACUUGUCCUUUUGGCUUCAGUUUUCUCAAGGACAAUUCAAGUUGUUAAGGGAGAAUUUUGUAGAGUGCAGACGGAUAACUUUUGCAUACAAGACAACAUUUGCGAACAAAAGUGUGAAAAGUUUCAACUGGGAACUUAUGCCCUUGGAUAUUGUGCUAAUCUGUUUUGUAUUUGCACCUACAUUUGUGGAUUGUAGUCUUGUAGAUUAGAAUUUCGGAUUACCUAGAAUCGCAAUGUUACUAGUUAGGAUGUGAUGAUGGCGGCGAUUGAUUGAUGUAUGUUCAAUUGCUAUCUUCAAUUGAAGGGUAUGCAACUUUAUCACUCAAAAAUUUUUUUUUUUUCAUGUCAAUGAAUUAAUCUAGUUGAUUUG